AUUGAACGCUGGCGGCAGGCCUAACACAUGCAAGUCGAGCGAGCGGCGGACGGGUGAGUAUUGUCUGGGAAACUGCCUGCUGGAGGGGGAUAACUACUGGAAACGGUAGCUAAAACCCCAUAUCCUCACAUGUGUGCAGAUGGGAUUAGCUCGUAGGUGGGGUAACGGCUCACCUAGGCGACGAUCCCUAGCUGGUCUGAGAGGAUGACCAGCCACACUGGAACUGAGACACGGUCCAGACUCCUACGGGAGGCAGCAGUGGGGAAUAUUGCACAAGGGGCGCAAGCCUGAUGCAGCCAUGCCGCGUGUGUGAAGAAGGCCUUCGGGUUGUAAAGCACUUUCAGCGGGGAGGCGUUACCCGCAGAAGAAGCACCGGCUAACUCCGUGCCAGCAGCCGCGGUAAUAC
Molecule: ribosomal RNA, 406 nt
Filed under: uncultured bacterium
Lineage: Bacteria
Description: partial 16S ribosomal RNA
Rfam family: Bacterial small subunit ribosomal RNA
Source: RNAcentral